This 222-nucleotide ribosomal RNA is filed under the name uncultured bacterium. Its description in RNAcentral is "partial 16S ribosomal RNA". It matches the Rfam family "Bacterial small subunit ribosomal RNA", at positions 57 to 305 of the family's 1533-position model. The record is from RNAcentral.
GCAAGUCGAGCGCCUUUCUUCGGAAAGGAGCGGCGGACGGGUUAGUAACGCGUGGGAAUAUACCCAGUUCUAAGGAAUAGCCACUGGAAACGGUGAGUAAUACCUUAUACGCCCUUCGGGGGAAAGAUUUAUCGGAAUUGGAUUAGCCCGCGUUAGAUUAGAUAGUUGGUGGGGUAACGGCCUACCAAGUCUACGAUCUAUAGCUGGUUUUAGAGGACGAUC